This 279-nucleotide ribosomal RNA is filed under the name uncultured bacterium. RNAcentral's name for it is "partial 16S ribosomal RNA". It matches the Rfam family "Bacterial small subunit ribosomal RNA", at positions 506 to 784 of the family's 1533-position model. The record is from RNAcentral.
UGCCAGCCGCCGCGGUAAUACGAAUGGUGCGAGCGUUGUUCGGAAUCACUGGGCAUAAAGCGCACGUAGGCGGUGGUGUAAGUCAGCUGUGAAAUCCCUCGGCUCAACCGAGGAACUGCAGCUGAAACUGCGCCGCUAGAGGGCGGGAGGGGAGAACGGAAUUCCGGGUGGAGCGGUGAAAUGCGUAGAUAUCAGGAGGAACGCCGGAGGCGAAAGCGGUUCUCUGGCCCGCAACUGACGCUGAGGUGCGAAAGCGAGGGGAGCAAACGGGAUUAGAUA